AUGCUGAAGGUGGCCCGGCACAAGUCACAGCCUGCUUUGGACGCAGCAGUUGGGGGUCCAUGGAGAUGUCUACCUGAGGCCAGCUGGAGCGAUAGAUGCUGCUUCAGACCCCCCACAGGAGAUGCAAAUCACAGUCUUGUGGACACCAAAAAGGUGACUUCUCUCUCUGCUGAAGGAAUGGCACUUGGGCACCAUUAUGGAAUUCAUGAUGGAGGCCACAUCGUCAGGUCUGCAGUGGUCUGACUGCUAGGACACCUGGUGACAAGAGAGUUUGCACCCAGUCCCUGUGUACCUGGCCUCACGUCUCACAUACACCUCAUGUUCUCCCUCCUCCUCAUGCUGCUUCCAGGAACGCUCCAGACACCCACCCUCUUGCUCUUUUGUGAGGAUAUGCAAAAGCUGACUACAGGUGGAUUCGUGAUUUCAAGAAUACAUAAGAGUUAAAUCAAGCUUACAAAAUACAAAAGAAGAAAUAAUAAAAGAUUGAUAAUGUCAACUGCUUAAGGGUAAGAACUUCUGUUCUCCUAAAUGAACUCCCUAUUAAUAACCCAAUUUAUAAAGAAGGAAGAAAGAGACAACUUCAAGCUGGUGAUACACUCUUUCUUUCAUGGGACAUUGGGAGAAUGAUGCAUCUGGAAAAGACAUUAUUGGAGACUUGCAAAAGUGACGCUUAUUAGUAGAAUGAUAUCACAUGAGAAAAAGUUUUUAAAAAUCCAUUUUGUAAAAAGAAACCUGCCUGUUCUGAUUAGAUUGCCUAUUGCUUUAAAAAACUAGAAUUUAUAGCUUUAUAGACAAUAGACAUUAGUCACAAAGAUAUUUUCUAUCUGUUUGACUAAUGUAGUAUAGAACUAGGAAGCCCCCCAAACUGAACAAUAUUCCUCUGAACACAGCACUUCACAACCAGCAUCGGGCCUUCACUUGUUACUAGAAAAUAAAAAGGCAUCAUAGCAUGAGAAAAAUGAACAUGAUUUGGAAGCUGUAUCAGAUCUGUCUCCCUUGCUGACUCUGGUCCUUCUUGAAACCCAUGAAUUAUUGGUAAUGUUUAUGUUGAAUGAGAUCCAUGUUUCAAUGGAGUCUGCUUUCAUAAUUUAUCCUAUUCAGGCAUUGAAAUAAUCAUGCCCUGUAAGUCAACAGGAAUUUAAAAAAAAAAAAAAAAAGGCCUCACAAAAAAAACAAGAAAAGGAAAAUAAAUAUUUCAAAAACAAAAAAAUACAGCUUUGAAAAGAUGUUCAAUUCUUUAUGA
RNAcentral lists this long non-coding RNA (1243 nucleotides) under Macaca fascicularis (crab-eating macaque). RNAcentral's name for it is "lncRNA (ENSMFAG00000063522.1)". The record is from RNAcentral. Lineage: Eukaryota; Metazoa; Chordata; Mammalia; Primates; Cercopithecidae.